Molecule: non-coding RNA, 732 nt
Organism: Marmota flaviventris (yellow-bellied marmot)
Lineage: Eukaryota; Metazoa; Chordata; Mammalia; Rodentia; Sciuridae
Source: RefSeq, a predicted model, not a curated record
UUUGCCUGGCUGCUCCCUGUGUUUCUGUCUUCUGGGGUGGUGCCUUGGGCUGGUGGGUUUUGAGAUCUUAAGUGUGACAUUUUUCUUGCUAUCACCCAUAGACUGGCAUCAAUAUGAUGACAUAAUUUGCAUGAAGCCUCCUUGAACAUUGGAGAAAUUCCAGAACCUCUACACUAAUAAGAUGAAGAAGGAGCUGGUGAAGGGGAAGAAGAUAGCAGCCAAGAUCAUGCUGGGAUGCAUCUUCAGCAUCCUUCAGACCUGGAACCCCAUCAACCUGCAGAACUUCUUCACCCAGUUCCAGCAGUUUUAUUCUGUUGUCCAAGUACCUAUGAUUUACAAAGGGAAAGCACAGACCAGGCACAGCCUGGACCUUGAAGAGGAAAAGGUGAAGAAACACCUUGGGAGUGUUUAAAAAAAGAGAUGGGAUCAUUUUUGGAAGAAAGAAGUGGGGACACCCUGACUGAAGGCUGCCCUGUGAGAAGCAGACUGAGAAGGGGUCUUGUCCUCCUUUUCCUGGUGGAAGAUGCUAGACUCUGCUUGUUGGAAGAUGGCAAGAGUACUUGGUCAACCUGUGACAAAGGUGCAUGGCUGUAAGGGUUGUCAACUGUCUGGGCAUCCAUCCUGUUCUGCACUACUGUAUGCAGCUGGCUCCUCCAAGAAACAACUUUGUGAUUCAGCCUGAGGUCAUCUGGGCUGCACUCAAGAAAAUAUCCUUCUCUCAGUUUCAUGAAA